RNAcentral lists this ribosomal RNA (253 nucleotides) under uncultured bacterium. RNAcentral's name for it is "partial 16S ribosomal RNA". It matches the Rfam family "Bacterial small subunit ribosomal RNA", at positions 524 to 776 of the family's 1533-position model. The record is from RNAcentral.
UACGAGGGGGGCGAGCGUUGUUCGGAAUUACUGGGCGUAAAGAGUGUGUAGGCGGUGCUCUAAGUUCGGUGUGAAAUCUCCCGGCUUAACUGGGAGGGUGCGCCGGAAACUGGAGUGCUUGAGCGCGGGAGAGGAAAGCGGAAUUCCUGGUGUAGCGGUGAAAUGCGUAGAUAUCAGGAGGAACACCUGCGGUGUAGACGGCUUUCUGGACCGUAGCUGACGCUGAGACACGAAAGCGUGGGUAGCAAACAGG